Notechis scutatus (mainland tiger snake) is the source of this 167-nucleotide non-coding RNA. The record is from RefSeq and is a predicted model, not a curated record. Lineage: Eukaryota; Metazoa; Chordata; Lepidosauria; Squamata; Elapidae.
CAGAGUGCAUGGGGCAACAGCUUGCUGUGCGAGCAUCCCUUUUUAUACACUGUAUUCCCAGCCGCAGCUAAUGAAGGGAAUCAGGGCCCUUUCCACCCCCGUAAGCCACGCAACUCAUGUUGCUCCCUUCUCCGUUUCUCCCUGCGUGCCCUAGGAUGAAGAGGGGG